Molecule: ribosomal RNA, 231 nt
Filed under: uncultured Anaerolineaceae bacterium
Lineage: Bacteria; Bacillati; Chloroflexota; Anaerolineae; Anaerolineales; Anaerolineaceae
Description: partial 16S ribosomal RNA
Rfam family: Bacterial small subunit ribosomal RNA
Source: RNAcentral
GGCGACAAGCCGUAGGAAGGUGGGGAUGACGUCAAGUCAGCAUGGCCUUUAUAUCCUGGGCUACACACACGCUACAAUGGGAAGGGACAAUAGGUUGCGAAGCCGCGAGGCGGAGCCAAUCCAGCAAAACUUCCCUCAGUUCAGAUUGCAGGCUGCAACCCGCCUGCAUGAAGUUGGAGUUGCUAGUAAACGCAGGUCAGCCAUACUGCGUUGAAUACGUUCCCGGGGCUU